UACGAAGGGGGCUAGCGUUGCUCGGAAUCACUGGGCGUAAAGCGCACGUAGGCGGAUUGCUAAGUCAGGGGUGAAAUCCUGGAGCUCAACUCCAGAACUGCCUUUGAUACUGGCGACCUUGAGUCCGGGAGAGGUGAGUGGAACUGCGAGUGUAGAGGUGAAAUUCGUAGAUAUCGGGAGGAACACCAGUGGCGAAGGCGGCGACCUGGGCCAAUAUUGACGCUGAGGUGCGAAAGCGUGGGGAGCAAACAGG
Molecule: ribosomal RNA, 253 nt
Filed under: uncultured bacterium
Lineage: Bacteria
Description: partial 16S ribosomal RNA
Rfam family: Bacterial small subunit ribosomal RNA
Source: RNAcentral